AAGGUAGCCACAUCUGCUGCUUGCCCCCGCAUCAGCCCAGUAUGGUGCAGAUUCAAAAGGGCCACAAUUCCCGGGACACUUGCUAAGGGCUCGCUGGAGACGUACCAAGAAUAAAUAGCGAGCAGACAGUAAGCUCUCAUCCCAGGAACAGCUUUCAGUCAUCUCUCCCUGAACCACUGUUGCAUCAGGACCUACAGAAGUAAGUUCUGUAUGUGACAGAUCACUUCUACUAGAAGAACUGUUUUACAGCAGAGCUGGAAAAGACUAAAAAUCAUGAACAAAUUAAAAGAUCUCACAUUACCUACAUAUACAAGGAUUUAAGCAGUAUGAGCAGCAUCUAGGAUUCAGCUUCUGCCAGUUCCUAAGAAGCAAAUCAAGUUCUAGUCCAUUUGAAAUUCUCUCAUUAUUAAAUAUAUAUAUACUUAUAUAUAGAUCUCUCUCUCUCUC
This is a long non-coding RNA of Dromaius novaehollandiae (emu), 447 nucleotides long. RefSeq lists it as uncharacterized. The record is from RefSeq and is a predicted model, not a curated record. Lineage: Eukaryota; Metazoa; Chordata; Aves; Casuariiformes; Dromaiidae. The transcript has 3 exons.